CACGUAGGCACCAAGCGUUGUCCGGAUUUAUUGGGCGUAAAGAGCUCGUAGGCGGUUCGGUAAGUCGGGUGUGAAAACUUUGGGCUUAACCCAAAGCCUGCAUCCGAUACUGCUGUGACUAGAGUUCGGUAGGGGAGCGGGGAAUUCCUAGUGUAGCGGUGAAAUGCGCAGAUAUUAGGAGGAACACCGGUGGCGAAGGCGCCGCUCUGGGCCGAUACUGACGCUGAGGAGCGAAAGCGUGGGGAGCGAACAGG
RNAcentral lists this ribosomal RNA (254 nucleotides) under uncultured bacterium. RNAcentral's name for it is "partial 16S ribosomal RNA". It matches the Rfam family "Bacterial small subunit ribosomal RNA", at positions 524 to 776 of the family's 1533-position model. The record is from RNAcentral.